CCAGGCGCAUACACAAUGAUGUAGAGACCGAGGAAGACGAUGGCCAAGUACCCGUUCUUGCUGGGACAUCCGUCUUUGAAGUAUGUUCGGCCUUUAGUGUGGCAUAAUGCCUUCAUCUCAGCUGACAGAACAACGCAUGCUCCAGGUGCGUACUGUUACAACAAACUCAUGAAUCUUAGCUACUACUAUCUCUUUAUGUGUGUUUUGAUUAAAGAGGCUAAUGUUUUACCUCUUGUGCUCUGUUUGAGCAGAAUCCACAAUGGGAUCUAAGACACUUCAUACAGUUCCAGUUAGAGGGAGGAGCGUUGGAGGCUGUGUAAGGAGCAAACGCAGGACAAGUAGCGUUUAAAGCGAACAUUCUAGAGUCUCUGCUAUCGAUCUUGGGAGAGUGGGUUGAGG
Molecule: long non-coding RNA, 399 nt
Filed under: Eutrema salsugineum
Lineage: Eukaryota; Viridiplantae; Streptophyta; Magnoliopsida; Brassicales; Brassicaceae
Description: long non-coding RNA (ESAL_LNC001957)
Source: RNAcentral